GACGAACGCUGGCGGCGUGCCUAAUACAUGCAAGUCGAACGAGAGCGUCCGGUGCUUGCACUGGUCAAUCUAGUGGCGAACGGGUGAGUAACACGUGGGUAACCUGCCCAUCAGAGGGGGAUAACAUCCGGAAACGGAUGCUAAAACCGCAUAGGUCUUCGAACCGCAUGGUUUGAAGAGGAAAAGAGGCGCAAGCUUCUGCUGAUGGAUGGACCCGCGGUGCAUUAGCUAGUUGGUGAGGUAACGGCUCACCAAGGCCGUGAUGCAUAGCCGACCUGAGAGGGUGAUCGGCCACAUUGGGACUGAGACACGGCCCAAACUCCUACGGGAGGCAGCAGUAGGGAAUCUUCCGCAAUGGACGCAAGUCUGACGGAGCAACGCCGCGUGAGUGAAGAAGGUUUUCGGAUCGUAAAACUCUGUUGUUAGAGAAGAACAAGUGCUAGAGUAACUGUUAGCGCCUUGACGGUAUCUAACCAGAAAGCCACGGCUAACUACGUG
This 498-nucleotide ribosomal RNA is filed under the name uncultured bacterium. RNAcentral's name for it is "partial 16S ribosomal RNA". It matches the Rfam family "Bacterial small subunit ribosomal RNA", at positions 28 to 507 of the family's 1533-position model. The record is from RNAcentral.